This 240-nucleotide unclassified non-coding RNA is filed under the name Glomerales sp. RNAcentral describes it as "partial contains 5.8S ribosomal RNA and internal transcribed spacer 2". The stretch from base 1 to 71 matches the Rfam family "5.8S ribosomal RNA", at positions 84 to 154 of the family's 154-position model. The record is from RNAcentral. Lineage: Eukaryota; Fungi; Glomeromycota; Glomeromycetes; Glomerales; Glomeraceae.
GUGAAUCAUCGAAUUUUUGAACGCAAAUUGCGCUUCCUGGUAUCCCGGGAAGUAUGCCUGUUUGAGGGUCAGUAUUAACAAAAAUCGGUUUGGUUGCAAAUUGUUGCGUUUCCGGGGUUUGGGCUUAUUUUAAAUUUUUUGGUUAAGGGGCUUAAAAUUUACCUUUUUUGCGCAUUUUUUGACGUACAUAAAUUUUUUUUUUUUUCUUUUUUUUUUAUUCCAAAAUCUUAAUUGAUUGCG